RNAcentral lists this long non-coding RNA (1021 nucleotides) under Nicotiana benthamiana. RNAcentral describes it as "long non-coding RNA (NBEN_LNC029823)". The record is from RNAcentral. Lineage: Eukaryota; Viridiplantae; Streptophyta; Magnoliopsida; Solanales; Solanaceae.
UUGUGAAGGCGCAAGAGCAAGUUGUUGCUGGUACACUGCACCAUCUGACUCUUGAGGUCAUAGAUGCUGGAAAAAAGAAACUCUAUGAGGCUAAGGUCUGGGUCAAACCAUGGUUGAAUUUCAAGGAACUUCAAGAGUUCACUCAUGUUGAAGAUGUUCCUACCUUAACUUCUUCAGAUCUAGGUGUUAAACUGUUUUUCAGCUUCUUUUCCUCUAUAACACCUUUUAUAGUAAGACCUUAUUUAGGUACCAUCAUUUUGUUUGUAACCUUUAUGUUGAUAAAAGGCAUAUUAUAAUAAACAUUUUAAAGCAUGAGACUAUUGGAGAUUUUAGUGUCUGCAAAUUUUUUCCAGAAUGCGAUGAUUGAAUUGGCCAGAGUUGUGAAGGCGCAAGAGCAAGUUGUUGCUGGUACACUGCACCAUCUGACUCUUGAGGUCAUAGAUGCUGGAAAAAAGAAACUCUAUGAGGCUAAGGUCUGGGUCAAACCAUGGUUGAAUUUCAAGGAACUUCAAGAGUUCACUCAUGUUGAAGAUGUUCCUACCUUAACAUCCUCAGAUCUAGGUGUUAAGCAAGGUAGCUCUCUCUUAUUGAUGUUAAUUACUGAUGUGUUCUAUUCAGUGCAACCAACUACGGUUGCAGUUUUGCCCUUAUUAGAUCAAAUCAACUUAACAUAUGGCUUCCGCUGGUACGCAACAAUGUUUCUUUUGCAAAAUUGGUCAGGUGAUAUGAGUUUGUGUCAGGUUUGCGAUUACAUACAGGUACUUCUGGUGCUUCUCUCCAGGUUUCUGCUAUAUGUGCCUGUGGCUUGGGGUUGAUUAUUCUGUUAAUUCUGGCUUGUUUUGUCUUUUUUUUUUUUUGAAGAAAAAAAUAUUGGACAGCAUAUCCGGGGUGAAUCGCAAGAAAUGUUCUUCUAGUGUUCUCCAAAUUAUUGUAUCGGCUAUAUAUGGUCAUGGAAUCUUCUAAAAUCUUGAUUCUCUUCGAAAUUGUUAGAUUGAUAGUCUCUUUUAAAUUAUGCAGAAGA